AGUCUACCCCUGGAUUCUGAAGAAAAAGAAUGUCUUUGGGAUGUAUCAUUAUCACCAAGCAGCAAUGUCAGUCCAUAUAGUAGCAUUGAUAUUACUGGUGUUGGCACAGCUAUGAGCAUUCCUAGCAGCUGCACAAGAACAUAUAGGAGUGAUCGAUUGUUGAGUGAAAGCUUGCUUAUUAUGGACGGAAACUGUGAGGGCACUAAACUGAUUAUUCAAGGGGAG
Molecule: unclassified non-coding RNA, 225 nt
Filed under: Hevea brasiliensis (rubber tree)
Lineage: Eukaryota; Viridiplantae; Streptophyta; Magnoliopsida; Malpighiales; Euphorbiaceae
Source: RNAcentral